UGGGAAAUCUCAGCUUCCUGAAUUCUCUGUGCAGUGUGCUAAACAAAUAUCUUCUCAGGAUCAUCACAGUUUUACUAACAUUUGAAAUGUUAUUUAUUUCUCAAAAAUUAUAGAAUCGCAGAAUGUUAUGAAUUGGAAGAGACCUCAAAGCCCACCCAGCCCCAACCCCAGCCAUGGGCAGGGCUGCCCCCCACCAGCUCAGGCUGCCCAGGGUCCAUCCAACCUGGCCUGGAGCGCCUCCAGGGAUGGGGUGCCCACAGCUCUGGGCAGCAGUGCCAGGGCCUCACCGCCCUCUGAGUAAAGAAUUUCUGCCUAACGUGUAGCUUAAAUCUCUCCUCUUAUAGUUUAAAGCCAGUCCUUCUUGUCCCAUUUCUAUCAGACUAUGUAAAAAGUCAGUCCCCUUUCUGCUUGUAAACUCCAUCUCAAGUACUGGAAGGCUGUCAUGAGGUCUCCCUGGAGCAUUCUCUUCUCCAGGCUAUACAAGUCCAACUCCCUGAGCCUUUCUUCAUAGGAGAGGUGCUCCAGUCCUCUGAUCAGUGCUGUAUUGACUGGUUGUCUGGAACUGAUGGGGCAGAAGACUGUGUCAGUACGGUUAUGAGGAAGAAUGUGAAUACUUCUGGAUAGGUAGUGAUAGGAGGAGACUGCCAAGGGCAGUUAAUCCCUACAAACAGAGAGGAGAGACAGGAAUGAAAGGAAUGAAAAUAAAGGCCAUACAGGCACAGACAAGAUUUGAGAUCAGUCUUAGCGUAAGAUUAACAAGAAGGCAUUAGUUUACACUGGAUGGAUGUGUGGAUCAAGAGUGGCUCUUGGCAGCCUUCUCUGUAGGAAGCAGGAAAGGUGCAUUCUUGUUUUCUGCCUUCCAACUCAGAGGCCAGUUAGGUAUUUCUAGGGAAGCUCUACAGUGUCCAGCUGAAGGACACACACUGAGCUUGAGCUUACUGCCUUGAACCAACUCCUGCUGCCCCUCCAGUGUUCAGGUGUGCGUCACAGAGCUUCUUUGAAUGUGCUGUAAAGAAAGGAAAUAGCUAGUUAACUAAUCUCAGUCAAAACUUACCCUUGCUGAAGUACAAACUGAGCCACCUGCAAUGGGCACCAAAUGAUCCACGCGAGUCCCCUGGAGCUGUAGAUGCUUCUUGUGUGUCCUUCUCUGCAGCAUUUCCACGUGCCUGUUAUUUCAGCUGCUAUUCACUGCUGCAGAGUCUGAGUCCUCAGGUCAGGGGAGAUUUAUCAUUACCAUGAGGACAGGCACAGGCUUCAAAAGCUGUUGUUGAUUUUCAAAUUAAAAAAUCCUUAUUAGCAGGAAGAGAAAUAAAAAAAGUUGAAACCUGCAAACAGAAAGCAGUAAGAGGAGAAUCACGUGUCUUUUGAUCAUGAUUAUGCUUUCAGAAGCAUAUUGGCAUAAUGAAGGGAUAAUUACUAACUAUGCUGGGCUCUGUUUUCACACAUUUAUGACGAACAGGCAUGGGAGCGGGCAGGUUGUCACUGAUUUUAGGCGAAGCUGUUCAGUAGGCACAAAGGAACUUAAACACCAAUAGGAAAUAGUUCAGCCUCCAUAGCCUGCCUCCAUGUUUCCAGCAGGACUAAAUUUACUGACCAGCAGAAAAAGCAGUGUGUGGAGUUGCAUCAACAGUGCUCAGUAAUUGUAUGUCUUUGUGACAGUAAAAUGGUAUUAAAAUACCAGAAGCCUCAAGCCAAGCAGCUGCAGUGUCAAAAAGCUUUCUAGCAACUUAGCUGCCUCCUUGCACGUGCACACAGAAUAUGAAGUCUUUCACACACAUUUAAGGGGUUUUGCACACAGAUCCCAUGCAGAUCUGCAGUUCUCCAUCACAGUGCCUCCAGUCCAGAGUAACUUUGGCAGAAUAACUGUCUCUUGAGGGACAGCGUGGGACAGCAAUGCUUCCAUUAGAUAAAAAACUUACAGCACUUGCUCUCACUGCAGUCCUUCAAUCCUGAAAGGUGCGGCCUCUCUACAACACUGCUCUCUACAGCUACAUGAAAGGAGGUUGUGAUGGGGUGGGUGUCAGCCUCUUCUCUCAGGUAACAAGCAACAGGAUGAAAGAGAAUGGCCUUAAGUUGUGCUGGAGAGUGUGAGGUGGUCAGGUUGGAUAUUAGAAAGAAUUUCUUCUCAGAAGGAAUGGUGGGGCAUUGGAACAGGCUGCCCAGGGAGGUGGUAGAGUCACUGUCCCUGGAGGUGUUUAAGUACCAUGGAGAUGUAGCACUGAGGGAUGUGGUUAGUGGGCAGUAUUGGUGGUAACUGGACAAUUGGACUAGAUGAUCUUAGUGGUCUUUUCCAAACUUAAGGAUUCCAUGAUGUUCAUGCUGCUGCUGAGCACAUUUGAAGGCCACUGGAAAUCAAGCCCACAGCUUCCUCUAAAACCAGAACCUAAUUUUCAGUCCUGUAAUUAACACUGGAUAGCCUCGACAUGUAACUCAAAAUGCAUGUUUUCUCCUUACAUGGGUUAAAAUCACUGAGGCUGACUAUUUUCAAGCAUGUACAUCCCAUGAUCAGUCUUAUAGAUUUGCUCCAGAUUGUUUUGCGUAUUACCAUUCCAGGUGGCUAUGAGUUAAUUAGCAAGCUUUGUGUUUCAGGGUGCACUAUAGCCAUUCAUAAAUAAAUCAUUAUUGAAUACAGAGUGCGCAGAUACUUGAUGAUGUGACAGAAAUCCUUUUGGCUAGCACGGGACAACUGAAAUGUAUGUAUUAUUUGUGACCAUAUGCAGCUUUUCCAUUAAUUGGCCUCAUCUGGGUUCGAGUUGUGGAGAGAAAGAGGUUUGAUCUGUCAUUGGUUCUUAUUCAUCAUGGCCCGAUUUUUAUUUCCUUAGGUUCCAGGCCAGUCUCUAAUACACAAGAUCCAGUUUUCCCUCAGAUGCUAAAAGGGACGCAGUUUGGGUUUGGAUAUCUGAGAAAGAGGGCAUAAAGGCAGUAAGACCUUCUGUGGGUAAGGUCUCACCUACAUCUUCCAGCCUUGAGCAGUUCAGUGCCUCUCAAGAGUUUUCUCCUGUUCCUCACUCUUGAGGGUCAUCUUAGCACACAGCUGACCCCUGCCUGAUGACACAUGGAGGAAGGCAGCCAGAAUGCUGGUGGUAGCCAUCCCUGGCAAUGUGUGAGGGAUGGAGAUUUUGUGCCAAGAGUGAGCAAGAAGCAAAACAUGGACUCUUUGCUCCCACCACCAAAUCUGUGAGUCCCUUUCCUCUGGGGUGCCUGUCCCAUCCAGGAUUACAUCCAUGCCUGAAUCUACUGGCUUUUUCAUUCCUCUCCUCUGUCCCUGUAAUGCCAAGUCACAGGGCUGCACUCUUCCCUUGCUGAGCAGUGCUGGUGUCAGGGAAAGAGGAGGAGGAAGCAAUGCAGGGAAGUUCAGAAGGAUCUGUGCAAUGAUUCUAUAGGGGCAGUUUGUCAUGUCAGCCCUGUGGACACCAACCUCAAUGCAUUCAAGAGCUCCCAGUGGGUGAGCAGAACCAAAGCACAUUAGUAGCAUCCAUCCAUCCUCUCCCGACAGCCAGGUCCCUGUGACCACAGAGGUAUGUUUCUGAAGUACUACAGAGGGCUUUUUGGUGUUAAAUUCUGUUUUUCUGGCAUAUUUAUUGAGACAUUGCCCCUCUAAGCUUUUUGAAACAUGGGCUGAGGUCAUUAGCACAGUUCGUAAUUUCAGCAGCGCUUGUGAACCUUCAGAUUUAGUUUGUUGUUUCAUCAGAGUCAUUUUCUUCAGCACAUCUUUUUUAAUUAUUUUUUAAUCCAUUCCCUCCCCACAUGCACAGACCUCACAGGGAUUUUCAUGCAUUUAAAUGAAAAAGCUGAACGGUUCCCUUUUCUUGUUCACAUUAUGCAGCAUUGCCCUUCUCUGUUCUUAUCCUAUUUCAGAGCUGUCAUGCAAACAAACCCAACUUAAAAAAAAAAAAUUAAAAAUCAUUACAGAGGUAUGCAUCCUGUCAACCCUCUGUCUUGGCUACUUCUCACUGUAUGUGUAAGGAGAAAUCCCUUCUCCUGAUUGCGCUUCUCUUUCAGGUAUAUUGACUUCUUUUUAAUCUCUAAUUCAUUAUUUCUCUGGCUCCCCAAAAUGCUCUGGUCUGCUCUGGUUGCCCAAUAAACCACUACUCCCUUCCCUACCAUGCAUAGGUAGUACUUACUUUUCCAGGGCUAUGGAACUCUUGUUUUCAUUGAUAUUUUCUUCUUCAACUAAUCUAGAAGGGGAGGAUUGUUCUUUUCUGUAAAGUCUGUUCUGUGAAGCAUGCUGUGCUGCUAGGACAACCCCUUGUCUUUUUCCACAUGUGUAUGCCUUAGCAAAGUAGUCAUUGCAACUCUUUCCUCCACAAUUUAAGUAUCUGAUUGUUUUCAAUAUUAUUUCUUACUCUUGUAUAUCAUCUGAGUCAGCUUUUAAGGAAGGCUGAGCCAGAAAACUUCAACAGGCGUUAAUAUCAAUUUCAUUUAUUUAUUUAUUUGCCAAGCCAGCUCUUAUUAGAAAUCUUCACCAUGCCAAGAAGUUACUCUCUGGGAAGCCUUUUCAUGUCCCUGAUCAAAAUGUAGGGACACUGGCUUCUGCAAGGUAAGCAGUAUGAGCUCCUGUGUGAUUUUCACAAUGGCAAUGGAAAAAAACCUUACCUUUAGCAGAGUCCAAACACAGAAGAUGCAUCCAGCUCUGGGAUUUCUUAGAGGGCAACCCCAGGAAGUAUCAUUUUUGCUUACUCUCAGCACAAGUACAUGGCUCUCAUUAUUGACUCUCCUGGGCAACAGCCAUAAACCAGGCUCAAACACAUAUAAAAAGGGGAAAGACAGCAGGGCUGUAAUGAUCAUGACAGCAAGUGGAAGUGUGAUGGGACAGGGCUCAAAAGAGACAACUACAAAUUGCUCCCGAGGAGGUAUAUAUCUUGUUCUUACUGCAGCUGAAGCUCUUAUUGGGAAGAUGUGGAUGUCAGCAUAGCUCUGGCAGGGAAUUUGUGCUAGCUGCAGAUGGAAAGAGUGAUAGAGCGUGGAAUAGGUAUGGAACAACAGGUCAAGGCUUUUGCCUGGUCUCUGAUAUCCCUCUGAUGGCCACGAGGCUGCCUUUUCUGAAGGAGGGUACAUUCUUGUAGCAAGAAAUGUAGUGGAAAAAUAACUAUUUUUUACUUAUUUCUCAAGCCCAUGAAGGAGCACGUAUAUGGAUAGCGGGAGACCAAGAAUUGAUAGGUAUGAAAGCAGCUCUGCCAACUCUUGUGCAGAACAUCAAACAGUGAAUUUAGACUGCACCAUCUUCCCAUCUCCCUGGAAAAACUUCCGAUGUUCUUGAUUUUAUCCACACAGGGAGGAUGAAAUGCUGUAAAUCUUAAUGAUUUGUGGGAUGGGGGAUAUUUCUCGCUUUCUAUAAAUACGUUAACCUCUUUGUCAGUGGGGAAUAAAGAUCUGCUUUGAAUUCAUGUUGCAUUUUUAAAGUUUCUUUCUAAGAUUCCUUUUUUUCCCCUUUUAUUUCCCGUCUCUUCUCAUGUAUCUCAGAAGAAACCAGCCUGCCAAACUGCUCCAGGAACCUCUUCUAAGCUCCUCUAUACUUUUCACUCAGCCCAGGUGCCAAAACGUGCGUGGCUGCAUCUUGAACAAACAAAAGCCUUUCACUGCACACCUGGCAAGUCAGCACUCCAAAAAAUAAAUACGAAGGUAUUCUGCUGAAGAACUGAGGCUCUCCUUGCCUGAAAACUAAAUGCCUUGGGACUGUGGACUAAGGCAGAUAUUUUUAGUGCCAUCAAUAUCUCCUGGAGUUGAUAUCUCCCAAGACAGAUGGUUGUUUCCCACAGAACGUUGUCAGAUGUUUGCUCAGCCAAGAUCAAUUUUGUUCCAAGUCCUUUCC
RNAcentral lists this long non-coding RNA (5812 nucleotides) under Gallus gallus (chicken). RNAcentral describes it as "lncRNA (ENSGALG00010019279.1)". Lineage: Eukaryota; Metazoa; Chordata; Aves; Galliformes; Phasianidae. The record is from RNAcentral.